AAGAGUUGCAAGACUCCCCUAAACCAUCGUGAACCAUACCUCUGAACAGUUGCUUCGGCGGGCCGGCCCUCCCCCGGGAGGCGCCGCCCAGGGCCCGCCGGAGGCACCCAAACCAUUGUCUUUACGGGCCUCUCUGAGUUACACUUAAUAAGUCA
Molecule: unclassified non-coding RNA, 155 nt
Filed under: uncultured Lasiosphaeriaceae
Lineage: Eukaryota; Fungi; Ascomycota; Sordariomycetes; Sordariales; Lasiosphaeriaceae
Description: sequence contains ITS1
Source: RNAcentral